CGAGUGGCGAACGGGUGAGUAAUACAUCGGAACGUGCCCAAUCGUGGGGGAUAACGCAGCGAAAGCUGUGCUAAUACCGCAUAAGAUCUACGGAUGAAAGCAGGGGAUCGCAAGACCUUGCGCGAAUGGAGCGGCCGAUGGCAGAUUAGGUAGUUGGUGAGGUAAAGGCUCACCAAGCCUUCGAUCUGUAGCUGGUCUGAGAGGACGACCAGCCACACUGGGACUGAGACACGGCCCAGACUCCUACGGGAGGCAGCAGUGGGGAAUUUUGGACAAUGGGCGCAAGCCUGAUCCAGCCAUGCCGCGUGCAGGAUGAAGGCCUUCGGGUUGUAAACUGCUUUUGUACGGAAGGAAAAGUCUCUUUCUAAUAAAGAGGGAUCAUGACGGUACCGUAAGAAUAAGCACCGGCUAACUACGUGCCAGCAGCCGCGGUAAUACGUAGGGUGCAAGCGUUAAUCGGAAUUACUGG
This 469-nucleotide ribosomal RNA is filed under the name uncultured ammonia-oxidizing bacterium. RNAcentral describes it as "bacterial SSU rRNA". It matches the Rfam family "Bacterial small subunit ribosomal RNA", at positions 92 to 557 of the family's 1533-position model. The record is from RNAcentral.